UGGGGAAUAUUGCACAAUGGGCGCAAGCCUGAUGCAGCCAUGCCGCGUGUAUGAAGAAGGCCUUCGGGUUGUAAAGUACUUUCAGCGGGGAGGAAGGGAGUAAAGUUAAUACCUUUGCUCAUUGACGUUACCCGCAGAAGAAGCACCGGCUAACUCCGUGCCAGCAGCCGCGGUAAUACGGAGGGUGCAAGCGUUAAUCGGAAUUAGUGGGCGUAAAGCGCACGCAGGCGGUUUGUUAAGUCAGAUGUGAAAUCCCCGGGCUCAACCUGGGAACUGCAUCUGAUACUGGCAAGCUUGAGUCUCGUAGAGGGGGGUAGAAUUCCAGGUGUAGCGGUGAAAUGCGUAGAGAUCUGGAGGAAUACCGGUGGCGAAGGCGGCCCCCUGGACGAAGACUGACGCUCAGGUGCGAAAGCGUGGGGAGCAAACAGG
This 429-nucleotide ribosomal RNA is filed under the name Chloroflexota bacterium. Its description in RNAcentral is "Chloroflexi bacterium partial 16S ribosomal RNA". It matches the Rfam family "Bacterial small subunit ribosomal RNA", at positions 355 to 776 of the family's 1533-position model. Lineage: Bacteria; Bacillati; Chloroflexota. The record is from RNAcentral.